GUGUUUGCGUGAAGCAGCUCUUCGUUCUAAAAUUGGGAGUCCAGUACAAGGCCAUUGAAUUGGACCAAGAGAUGUCUGUCUAUAUGCUUCAAACUAAGUUGACAAAACAUGUUUGUGGCAUAUGCAAGAAGUGGAAUCAGCCUGACAGUGGAAGUUGGGUGAGAAACCUAUAAGUUAUGCUAGGGUUGUAAAAAUUAUAGUAUUUUGUCUUUGUUCAGGCUCUUUUAUAUGUUCCUAUUUGUUUAUUGAAUGGUUUGAUGAAGAUAACUGCCUAUUUGUUCUUAGGUUGUUGAAGGCCCUUGUAACUCUGUGCCUAUUCCUGACGGGGCAGCUCUAUCAGCAUUUCAGUACUUCGAAAACGUCAGAAAUUUCCUUGUGG
RNAcentral lists this long non-coding RNA (379 nucleotides) under Rosa chinensis. RNAcentral's name for it is "sRNA RchiOBHm_Chr5g0046021". The record is from RNAcentral. Lineage: Eukaryota; Viridiplantae; Streptophyta; Magnoliopsida; Rosales; Rosaceae.